AAAUUGUCAAAUAAGCGAACAUUGACUAAUUUGUAUAAAACAUAAGCCAUCGUUGCUACACAAAUAGGGACAAGUUGUAGUACAAUAUAUAGGCAAUAAAAAACAUAAGAUAAAUUUAUUUUAUAUUGCACUAAAUUUCCUGAUUAGACUCACAAUUGAACAAACCCAAAAACUAAACAAUAGAAGUGUCUUAAACUAAUAACUAAUGACAUCUGUAACACUGUCAAAUAUGAGAACACUGACUAAUUAGUAUAAAAUGAAGUGAGUAAAUAAACCUGGUUGCUGCACAAAGCAAAACCUCAAGACAAUAAGCAUUUAAUUGGGCAUUCACCAAGGAAUUAUACUCGGGAA
RNAcentral lists this unclassified non-coding RNA (351 nucleotides) under Hevea brasiliensis (rubber tree). Lineage: Eukaryota; Viridiplantae; Streptophyta; Magnoliopsida; Malpighiales; Euphorbiaceae. The record is from RNAcentral.